Paralichthys olivaceus (Japanese flounder) is the source of this 523-nucleotide non-coding RNA. The record is from RefSeq and is a predicted model, not a curated record. Lineage: Eukaryota; Metazoa; Chordata; Actinopteri; Pleuronectiformes; Paralichthyidae.
AGUUUGUCUAUAGCUGCAGCCUAAACCUGUUAAACAGAAAUUUGAUAUCGCUUUCUCUGGUGACACAGUUGGGAAAAACACCUUGCGGUCAAUAGAUAGGGGGAGGUUGGUGAGAUACAACUGCUGCCACAGACCUACCUGAGACUCAACCAGAGAGGAACAUCACAUUCACUGUUAUGUACCUGUCCUUUUCUCCAUCUAGAGGUGAACCAUGUCCUUCUCAAGCUGCCAGAUGACUCGUCCGCGCCAAAUUGCCUUUGGCUGCGUACUGUUGGUGUGUUUCUUUGUGAUUUUUUUAACAUACUACAAGUUUGAAAUCAAGUUCCCUGAUUUCAGUGUUUAUCUGAAGAGAGGAAAUCAUUCUUGUGUGUGUCCUGUGGAGGCACAGACCCAGGGCUCAAACCAAAACCGUUCCUCGGAGCAGCACGAGGAAGCACCUACCGAUGGUCCCCAGAAGAUCCAGGAUGUGGAGGUGGAGGCUGAGCCCGACACUCUCCUGUUGAUUUGGAUGUGGCCAUUUAAC